RNAcentral lists this ribosomal RNA (509 nucleotides) under uncultured bacterium. RNAcentral describes it as "bacterial SSU rRNA". It matches the Rfam family "Bacterial small subunit ribosomal RNA", at positions 17 to 518 of the family's 1533-position model. The record is from RNAcentral.
UCCUGGCUCAGGAUGAACGCUAGCGGCAGGCUUAACACAUGCAAGUCGAGGGGCAGCGGGAUGUAGCAAUACACUGCCGGCGACCGGCGGAUGAGUGCGUAACGCGUAUGCAACCUACCUUAUACAGGGGAAUAACCUUUCGAAAGGGAGACUAACACCCCAUAGUAUUGAUUUAAGGCAUCUUAGAUUAAUUAAAUAUUUAUAGGUAUAAGAUGGGCAUGCGUAUGAUUAGCUAGUUGGUAAGGUAACGGCUUACCAAGGCGACGAUCAUUAGGGGUUCUGAGAGGAAGGUCCCCCACACUGGUACUGAGACACGGACCAGACUCCUACGGGAGGCAGCAGUGAGGAAUAUUGGUCAAUGGGCGCAAGCCUGAACCAGCCAUGCCGCGUGCAAGGAAGACGGCCUUAUGGGUUGUAAACUGCUUUUACAUAAGACUAACCGUAUAUUUGCGAAUAUACCUGAAUGUAUUAUGAGAAUAAGGAUCGGCUAACUCCGUGCCAGCCGCCGC